This 468-nucleotide ribosomal RNA is filed under the name uncultured bacterium. Its description in RNAcentral is "partial 16S ribosomal RNA". It matches the Rfam family "Bacterial small subunit ribosomal RNA", at positions 28 to 507 of the family's 1533-position model. The record is from RNAcentral.
GACGAACGCUGGCGGCGUGCUUAACACAUGCAAGUCGAACGGAAAGACCCUGCUUUUGUGGGGUGCUCGAGUGGCGAACGGGUGAGUAACACGUGAGUAACCUGCCCUUGACUUUGGGAUAACUUCAGGAAACUGGGGCUAAUACCGGAUAGGAGCUCCUGCUGCAUGGUGGGGGUUGGAAAGUUUCGGCGGUUGGGGAUGGACUCGAGGCUUAUCAGCUUGUUGGUGGGGUAGUGGCUUACCAAGGCUUUGACGGGUAGCCGGCCUGAGAGGGUGACCGGCCACAUUGGGACUGAGAGACGGCCCAGACUCCUACGGGAGGCAGAAGUGGGGAAUAUUGCACAAUGGGCGGAAGCCUGAUGCAGCAACGUCGCGUGCGGGAUGACGGCCUUCGGGUUGUAAACCGCUUUCGCCUGUGACGAAGCGUGAGUGACGGUAAUGGGUAAAGAAGCACCGGCUAACUACGUG